Molecule: long non-coding RNA, 9090 nt
Filed under: Ananas comosus (pineapple)
Lineage: Eukaryota; Viridiplantae; Streptophyta; Magnoliopsida; Poales; Bromeliaceae
Description: long non-coding RNA (ACOM_LNC034403)
Source: RNAcentral
GAAAUGCAUACAAGCAGUGGCGAUCAAUGCCGAAUGCUCAAUAGUAAGCCGUCGGCAACCAGCCGACAAUCACCGCCCCUCGGGGCACACCGACCAAUAGGUCAUCGAACUGAAGAAACACAAGUACCGACCACUCAGGUCAACUAGGAUGGAACAACUCAACAUCCUAUCGAAGAUAUGCAAGUAUAAUCCAGAUGUAACGAACUGACCGUCUGGGUCAUAACCAAACAUCGGCAACUAGCCGACAAUCCAAACCCUCCAGGUAUACUGACCGUAUAGGUCACCAAAUAGUCCAACCGACCAAUAAGGUCACAGAUACGAAGUACGAGAACUGACCAACCAGGUCACAGAUGUCCCAAGAACGGAUGCAGAGAAUCGACUGAAUAUGUCACAACAGCAGAUGCAACGAACUGACCGAUUAGGUCACAAAACAUCGGCAACUAGCCGACAAUCCAACCCCUCAGGUAAACUGACCGCGUAGGUCACUAAGUAGUCCAACUGACCACAUAUAUCACAACAACGGAUGUGAAGUACGGGAACCGACCAACAGGUCAUAGAUGUCAUAAGCAGAUAAAUCUACUCUACUCCUAAACAUAGAAACAACUGAGUAGAUUAUGACGGAAACAAUAUGGGUGCAAGGCUCAAUAAAUACUAUGCAAUAGUAACAAUAGGAGAGCAAGGGUAAGAAACCAUCACCGAGCGUGCACCACUGUACCAACGUCGGAUCGAAGUACCUACCUGUAAGGAUGUCGCGUCUGUCUCCUGACUGCAAAAGAAUGUCGACAGGACCUAUAGAGGGUCCACCGGGUUAGUAUCUAACCCCCAACUAAUAACCACAGUAUCCACAACCCCACAAACAAUUUCACGAAGAUCGAUUUCCCAAUACCGAUUACCAUAACUCGCCGGAAGUCCCGAAAACCACACCGGGACGCCGUCGGGACCCACUAAGUGUCCCGAAACUCACCGACUCGUGCUACGAGUCACCCGCUACCACUAGACAUAAAUAAUCGUGCAUCAUGGCAGCAAACACAACUCCUCACGUCGAAACAAUUACCGUCGGAUAAUCGUUUCGAUCCAGGUUCCCGAAAGUGUCAAUUUCGACACCGGAACCCACCGUCGCUCACCCGUCAUUUCUGAACUCUCAAAAUGAUGCGAGUGACCAGCCAACAAGGCUCAGCGACUGAACAAUCCAUCACGAAGCACCGUCGGAAUAAUUCCGAACCGAACCCACGUUCCGUCGGCGGAUUUUGCCGAGAAACGAGUCGGAAAUCACUUAUCGAUCUCUGCAAAGGUUUGGGGCCUUGGACAAUCAGUCCAGAGGUCACCCACAGCAUGUACACGCUGCCCACAGCUACCACGAUAAACCAAAUUGCAUAAAGGCCCUCCCGAUUACCCGAAAUCACAUUAUUUUAUGUGAUUUCAGCACUUCUAUGGUGCGUCUACACAAACCAGAAGUCAACCAGCCAAGACGAGACACAUGCUGAUAGGUCUCGGCGUGCCGGAGGCCGUGCUCACCUUUCGGAGCACUUCCGGCCACUGUGGGAAGCGUACGACCAAUGCGAAUUCAGUGAAAUAGCGCGCACAGCGCUCAAAUCGCGUCAACUACACAAACCAGGGCAUGUAUGACCCUAACGGAGGUGGGCACAGUGUUCAUAACGAAACCACGAUGAUCGUGCUCACCUCUACAGUCAUUGGGGUGCCUUCGGAUCACCGAAAAGGUGACUGGAACCCCAAACAGUGUGCUACAGUAUUAAAAACAGCCAUACCGGAGCACAGGGAGCUAGGGUUGGUCGCCGGUGGCCGAACGGCGGGCGAUCCGGCCGGGGACGGGUGCAGCCGGUCGGAAGGGUCCGCGGCAGGUGCUGGCCGGCGGCGGGCGGUAACCAGUGGCACGGCGGAGGAGAUCAAUUCCGCUAAAUGCUCUCGAGUUCAAGGGCUCCCGGCGGCGAGGCGGCGGCGGGAGGAGCUCGGGGCGACGGCGAUCCGUCGGCGUAGGCCGAGGGAAAGGCGGUGCGCCCGGCAGUGGGCGGCGGCGACGCACGGAGGCGUUGCGGGCUCAAGCUCGGCCCGCACGCAUCCUGGACGGCCGCAAGAAGCUCGGGCAACGGCCGGCGGCGCGCGGGGACAGCGGGGAUGCGCGCAGGAGGUUCGCCGGAGUCUCAGGAGGUCAGCACGGCCGAUCCAUGGUGGCGACGGCGCGCGGACCUCAAUCCCACCCGAGCCCGGUCUGGGCUGACCGCAGAUGGCCGUAGGGGCCAGGGCGAUGCCGGCGAUGCACGGGGAUGGCCGGGACCGGCGGGGAUGGCGUCGGGGAUCCAACCACGGCCGGGAAAGAGCGGCCCGAGGCUGUGGAUGCCUUCCAAAAGCCAAAGGUCUAGAGGGUGGAGAAUUAGUUGAAAGAGAAUGAAGAAGAGGUGGCCGGGUUCCAGUUUUCCGGCGGCCGGGGCUCCUGCCGGCGGCCGGGAUGCGCGCAUGGGUUGGACAGGGAGCUGCUGAAGGUAGUUAGGGCACAGCUGGGGGACAAGGUCAGCCAGAUCUAGGGUUUCGUGCAAAGAAACCCAAGAUGCAAUUUAUAUACAAGUGAACUUUUGCAGAUAACCCCUCCAACACAAAAUAUUUAAACCUCAGCCCCUGCCAGGGCGUGCAAUAUGCGCGUAAGCACCUCGACGUUCAAAAUCACGCGAAAAGACGCAUGAAAUAUUAGUGUUUUCGAGAAGUUUCCGGUUUUGCCCAUUCAACCCCUCAGCGAACAUCUCGCAAUUUCAGGAGAUCCGUCCGUCGGAUUUCUGAUCGGAUCGUGCCAGCGCGUUCAGCACGACUGGGGUAUCGAAUCUAAUAUUUCGUUUCAUUCGAUUUGAUCUCCGAUUCACGACGAAACCGACCCUCGUUGUUUCCACCAUAACACCACAUAUUUAUAUAUGUAAAACCGAUCAAACCCCUUUUUCUCCACAACUGUGCAUUAGAUUUGAAAUCCGUCAGUGCCAUUAAUUCCAGAAUAGCUGAAUCAUUCGAAACGAGCUAUUGGACUGCUAUGAACGGAGUCCGAUACGCACCAAAAGCCAACUCUACUCCGUGGUUUCUCCGGAAAAACCAAGUUACUAUUCACUUAAGUGAAAAUUAAAGAUCACGUAACUUCUCCGUUCUAGCUUAUUUUCUCCUGAAACUUGACGAGUGCUUAUGUAAUUAAAUUACACAUAUAAACAUCGUCAACCAAGAGUUUAGCUGCACUGCCAAAAUCUCAGUCCUUAUAGGUUAUUACAGGAGGGUUUUCUGUAAUUUAGCCUAAAAGAAAACCUGAACUAUGGAUCAUUCAGAAUCUACUGUUUAACAUUUUAAAAUUCUGAUUUUAUCAUCUAAUUUUUCAAUUUGUUUAAUUUGUGUCGGGUGACAACACUUUAACUUUAAAAUUUAAAGUAAUUUUUUACUUUAAUAAAAAAUUAUAGUUUCUAGAAUUGCAUAAAGUAUACCAACUAAAUUUGUAAAAACAAUUAAACCAUAAAUUAAAAUUUUGAAGUCAAAUUAAGUGUCGUCAGCUGACUCAAAUCAAACAACAUGAAAGAUUAGAUAAUAAAAUCAAAUUUUCAAAAGGUGGGAUAACCGAUUUAAAAUGGUCAAUAAUUUAUAUAAAUUUUUUAUAUUUUUACUUAUUUAUAUAUAGGGUCUGACUGAAAUGCUUCUACUGUAAGAAGAAGUCUACUGUGUCACACUUGCAGCACAUCAGCAAUAACAAAUCAAUCAUAUCUCUUCUUUAAAAACCAUAGUAAAAAUAUUCUUUUAUAAUCAUAAUAUGAUAAAUUAAUUUUAAAAUAUUUAUAUAAUUAAUCAAAAAUAACAUAUCAGAUUAAUAUAAUCGGCGUAUUCUAAAAUAUUUUUCUAGGCAUUUAUUUUCGUUGCAGACACAUGGGCCAGUGUGCAGUACGAUGUACCUUAUCUGCUUUGGCGCGCCGCGGCAACUUGUCCCUCCUGCCACGUGGGACGGUGGGACCCCAUACAAAUCAGGUUAAUUGUAUCAUUGGUCCCCAGCUUUUACCAGAUUUUUAUUUUAAAACCCACCUUUUUAUUUUUGGAAAAAAACUUCAAAUAUUUUCGUACUUUCUUAGUUUAGUACCAUAUAAUUUAAAAUGUGUCAAUUUAGUGCAUUAUAAUUUCUUUUUUUUUUUUAUUAUCAAUUUCACUAUUUUUUUUAGUUAAAUUAGUAAUAAAAUUAAAACUAAAUGAUACUAAAAUAAAUAUUCAAUAAACUUAAAUAGAAUAUCUGAAGUUUUGUGUAUAUAAUUUAACGAAAUAAUAACGAAAAGCUGAUGAAAAGAUAAAAAUUAAACCACGGGACACUAACUUGAUUGAACCUAAAGGUGUCCGUAGACCGGGUCGGAUUUGGGUAGUUGAUAUACUGUACCCGUACCCUAAAAAAAAAUGAUUAAAAAUAUAUAUAUAUACCCUACCCAUUUAACAUCAGGUCGGGUCUGGAUCUGGGUACUUAAGUUACUAAUAUACCCAUUGAGUCUAUUUGAGCGGGUCUGGGUAGUGACUAUCCGUAUACUACCCAUUCAAAAUCGGUUACGGGUCGGAUACGGGUACCCGUAUAUAUAUAUAUAUAUAUAUAUAUAUAUAUAUAUAUAUAUAUAUAUAUAUAUAUAUAUAUAUAUAUAUAUAUAUAUAUANCGGCCAUUAUAUUUACUGAUUAAAAGUCUAAAAUUCAAAAUAAUUUUUUAUAUAAACACAAAAAAAUUAAAAAAUUAUGAUACCAUAUUAUAGAUAAAUAGAAUGUAAGUUGUAGUAAUUACUAAUAUUAUAUAAUAACAUUCAAAAAAAAGGGAAAAAAAAAAAGAUGAAUUAGAAAAUUUACGAAAUAGAAUAUUCAUUAAAAAAAACUAGAUUGUCGACUAUGAUUGGAAAAAGGAUUUGAAAAAAAAACUCACUUGUACCACACCUGUAAAGGAUUAAUAUCGCUAAUGAUGACUACGAUAGAAAUAUUGUUUCAUAAAAAACUCUUAGACUGAAAUGAAAUAAAAAAAAUAAAGAGUUAAAAACAAAAAGUAAAAAAAUUAGAAAAAGAAAGUAGUAAAAGAGCGGCUAAGAUUUCAAUGUUUUUUAGGAUGAAAAUACUUAGAAAUCCCUCGUCUAUAAGUCCAAUCAAAAUUGACCCCUCAACUUUAAAAAUUCAAAAUUUUUUUAUUUACUAUCGGAUAUUUUAUCGGGUCCGGAUUUAAAAACUCUUCCGGACCUCACCCAUUUAAAAGUUGGGUUCGGGUCGGGUCCAAAUCGAGUAUGGGUAUAAAAUAUCCGGACCCAUACCCGAAACUUUAAUGGGUAUUUUUUUUUACUCGUAUACUAUCCAUUUUUUAUCGGGUCCGGUUCGGACCGGGAUAGGGUCCGGGUUGGGUCCGGAUCGGGUAUGAUAUAUCGAAUAUUUUGGACAGCUUUAAUUGAACCACAGGACACUAAAGUGAGAAAAUACGAAAUUACAGAGUUGGUAUUUGAAGUUUCCUUUUAUUUUUGGCACCUAUAUCUCAAUCACGGUCCCUCACUUUUUAUCGCUCAAUUUUGUUUUUAGAAAAAAAAAUUUGGUCCCCAAUCUCUUCUCCUACAUGCUUUUCAGUAAUUUUUUCAGAAACUUGUAUAAGUUAAUAUUGAAGCACCAUCCACUUGGUACUUCUAAGUUUUUAACCCUUGGAUCCACUUCAUAAUUACUAAUAUCGCUUGGAUCAAAUACUAUUCCACCUACCACCACCGACCAUCACCUACCACCAUCAUCUCAACCUCACAUCUCUCCAUCUAAGGGCUAAAAACUCUAAAGCACCACCCACUUGGUACUUUUGGGAGUAUUCUAGCUCCACUAUAUAUAUAUAUAUAUAUAUAUAUAUAUAUAAAGCAGGGCUGCUGUGCUCUCCGUGCUUUUGAGCCGUUUUCGAUGAUGAAAUUUUCGACUCGACGAUCGGCUCCGUUAGACUUGAUCUAGCGUAUUUGAAGCUUCUAGAAAAUAAUUUUUGCGAUUUUUUGAUAUCAUUUACCUAGUGAUCGAAAUGAUUCAAAAUCAAUAAUUUUUAAUGGUUGAUAUCCGCCGUUAACGAUGUAGAAGUAUUCAAAUCAGAUAAAAUUUUGAUACAAAAUUCUUUAUACUAUCUACAAUAAGAUCAAUAUUUCUAAUCGAAAAUUUUAGUACUAUAUCACCACUUUUUAUAGGAUUUUUAUUUUCAGCCGUUAAAAAUUAUUGAUUUUAAAUUCUUUUGAUUACUAGGUAAAUGAUAUCGAAAAAUCGCAAAUAUUAUUAUCUAGAAACUUCAAAUACGCUAGAUCAAGUUUAAUGGAGCCGAUCGUUGAUUCGGAAACUCCAUUAUCGAAAACGGCUCAGGAGCACGGAGGCCUCCGUGCUCCUGAAAGCACAGCAGUCCUGCUCUCUCUCUCUCUCUCUCUCUCUCUAAUAUAAUAUUUAUAUAUAUAUAUAAUACUAUAGUAUAUAUAGUUGAGCUAGAAUACUCUCAAAAGCACCAAAGGGUUUUUAGCUAUUAGAUAGAGAGAUGCAGGAUUGAAAUGAUGGUGGUAUGUAGUGAUAGGUGGAAUAGUAUUUGAUCCAAAGGUUAUUAGUAAUCAAGGAGUAGAUUAAAGGGCUAAAAACUCAAAAGCACCAAAAGGUUGGUACUUCUGAGAGUAUUCUAGCUCAAUUAUUUAUAUAUAUAUAUAUAUAUAUAUAUAUAUAUGAACUAUAAAUUAUUUUGCAUUGACUACAAAAUUUUCAAUCUUUUAUUUUGUUUCAUUUUAGCCUAUUAAUAAUACUUUAAUCCUCAAUUUAUAAUUACAAAAAUUAUAUAAAUUAUACUAAUUAAAUCUAUAAAAAUAAAUAUCAUAUUUAAAUUUUAAAGCCAAAAAGCUCAAGUGUUAUUGACCUAUUCAAAUCAAAAUAAAAAAAAAUAAAAUAAAAUCAAAAUUAAAAAAAAAUCAGAUAAUAAACUCAAUAUGGUCCAUAGAAAAGUUUUGUACAAUUUUAUCAAAAUUGUAUCACUUUAUAUGGACAGGACAAUGUGAGAGAAAAAAAUAUUUUUUAUUUAAAAAAUAUUUAGGAAAUAUUUAAGACACAUAAAAAUCUAUUUUUUUUUAGAAAUCUACUAUACCAUACUUGCACCUAAACAUUAAUAAUAAAUCAAUUAUAUCACUCUAUUUGCAAAAAAAUAUAUAAUAAAAAUAAUUUUUUGUCACGCCCCGGGGUCCCUUUCGGUUUAAGAGAUAGCGGAAAAGCGUCUGAAAUUUUUUUUUUUGAAAACCUGACCCCAGAGUAUGUCAGAUCCGCCACAAAUAUAGGAGAUCCACUAUUCACACGGACAGAAUCUCCCCUGUAUUUGCACGGCGUCGCACAAGUACAAGAAUACAACCAGGAUACAACCACAACUAGAUGAAUAUAAAGAUCGCUAUACAUUCAUACAUUCACCAUUCACAUCACAGUUUUACAUUCAAUGUUUAAACAGAAAUCCAUAAAAAAAAUCCUUUUGAAAACUGUUUUCUAUACGGAAACCUUUAUUCUUUAAAAACGCUACCACGAGGGGUAGAAAACCUUUUAUUACAUUCAUGAAAAUCCACAUAUUCAAAUGUAAUAAAAAUACUGAACCAUAUAAACUAUCUAAGCUAUAUAUCAAGAAAAACACGGUACAGAGGCUAACCGAACGACCUGGGUCGGAAGAUCUAUCGAGCGCUACGUACGUGUCUCACGUCUCGUCUAAACCUCGACCGCCUUUACGCAAUACUGAAAAAUAGGGGGGAGGUAGAUCAUGUAAACAUCUCCGCCUCCCAGUGGGUACCGCAAGCCGAUGAGGCGAGGGUAUCACCGGAUCAGGAAGAACUAUAACAACAACAUGGGUCAGUGGAAAUAAAUAGGUAAUGAGCAGAUAUACAAUAGCGAUAAACUGAAAGGAAGUAAGAACUAUACUGAAUAAACGCGCUACCGCUACUGAACUGAACAGAAAGCAUACAUGAAUAUCUACUAUAGUAGCAAGACAACUUAUAAAGUAAGAUCUGUAAGUAUGCAUGCAAUGACUGCUACUAUAGACAUAAUGCGUCAACCGGUCAAGAAGUCCAAAAGUAACCAAUCUGAAACAAUGCUCUCUUGGUCAGCACCGCAGACCUCAAGCCAGUGCCAACUACUACUCUCCAGUGACAUAUAACCUCUAGGGCUCACGGUUGUCACCAUUCAACCACUUUUCCGCAAAAGAACAUCCUUGCGGUGGAUCAGACGCGCCAGUGUUCGUGAAAUGCGACGAGUAUCGGGCGAUCAAUGCAAUAUGCUCAAUAAUAACCGUGGCAACCAGCCGACAAUCCUGCCCCCAGGGCCCAUCGACCGCAUAGCGUCGUCAACUGUAAGGAAGCACAAGAACGACUCACUCAGGUCAACUAGGAUGGAAACAUCGACAUCCUCUCAAACAUAUGCAAAUACUCCUCAAUGAACCACAAGAACUGACAACUCAGAUCAACUGAAUAUGAAAACUCGACCAAAUCAUGUCAACACAGUACAGGAUAUGAAACUCGACAAUCAUGUCACAAUAUAGGAUAUGAAACGACAAUCAUGUACAAGUACAGAAUAUGAAACGUCGACCAUCAUGUCACAAGGUAAUAGGAUAUGAAACUCGACAUCAUGUCACAAGUAUAGGAUAUGAAUAAAGUAUAAUCAUCCGUCGGCAACUAACCGACAAUCCACCCUCAGGGUAUACCGACCUCAACGGUCAUCAGACAACAAAGGUUGAGGAACUCACCGAAUAGGUCACAAUACUGAAUACUAGAGAUCGACCGACUAGAUCGCUAAUCUCAACAGAUAAUUACAGAUCGCUUCUACUAUAAAUAUGAAACAGGGUAUGCAGAAUAGCUAAGUAGAGCAACAAGGAAACAUGGUAUCACAUACAAGAUAGACUAUACUGCCUACACAUGUAUACUAAGCAUGGAAACAUCUGAGUUAGAGUAUAAUCAAACAACGUGGGUGUAAUGUAAACAAUAUAGAUGCAAAGCUUCAACAUAUAAUAUAAGCAUGGAUAAUAAAAAGAGCAAGGGAAGAAACCAUCACGAGCGUGCACCACUGUACCAACGUCGGAUCGAAGUACCCACCUGUAC